UACUGAAUUACAAUACUAUGGAAAAGCAUGAAGCCAAUUAAGUUUUCUUAUGGAACUAAAGACGACCAAGAUAUGUCAAUGUUUUUUUUUGUCCUUUUCCUUUAAAUUGUUCUAGCAAGCAGUUUUAGGUUGUGUUAUGCAAAGCUGUAUUUUGGUGUUAAUUUGUCGUACUCCGCUAUGAUAGAAAAAACUGUAGAAUGACAGGUUUUUAUAAAAAUGAGAUUAUU
RNAcentral lists this long non-coding RNA (227 nucleotides) under Medicago truncatula (barrel medic). RNAcentral describes it as "lncRNA gene22185". The record is from RNAcentral. Lineage: Eukaryota; Viridiplantae; Streptophyta; Magnoliopsida; Fabales; Fabaceae.